CCAAUAGCGUAUAUUAAAGUUGUUGCAGUUAAAAAGCUCGUAGUUGAAUUUCGGGGUUAGUAGGUUGGUCAUGCCUCUGGUAUGUACUGAUCUCACUGAUUCCUCCUUCCUUAUGAACCGUAAUGCCAUUAAUUUGGUGUUGCGGGGAAUUUGGACUGUUACUUUGAAAAAAUUAGAGUGUUUAAAGCAGGCUAACGCUUGAAUACAUUAGCAUGGAAUAAUGAAAUAGGACGUUCGAUCUUAUUUUGUUGGUUUCUAGGAUUGACGUAAUGAUUAAUAGGGAUAGUUGGGGGCAUUAGUAUUCAAUUGUCAGAGGUGAAAUUCUUGGAUUUAUUGAAGACUAACUACUGCGAAAGCAAUUUGCCAAGGAUGUUUUCAUUAAUCAAGAACGAAAGUUAGGGGAUCGAAGACGAUCAGAUACCGUCGUAGUCUUAACCAUAAACUAUGCCGACUAGGGAUCGGAUGAUGUUAAUUUUUUAAUGACUCAUUCGGCGCCUUACG
This 501-nucleotide ribosomal RNA is filed under the name uncultured Glomeromycotina. Its description in RNAcentral is "partial small subunit ribosomal RNA". It matches the Rfam family "Eukaryotic small subunit ribosomal RNA", at positions 591 to 1092 of the family's 1831-position model. Lineage: Eukaryota; Fungi; Glomeromycota. The record is from RNAcentral.